GAGGUUGUGGCUCAGUGCUACAGCACUUGCCUAGCAUGCAUGAAGACCUUGGUUCAAUCCUCAGCACCACA
RNAcentral lists this transfer RNA (71 nucleotides) under Marmota monax (woodchuck). Its description in RNAcentral is "tRNA.Ala". The record is from RNAcentral. Lineage: Eukaryota; Metazoa; Chordata; Mammalia; Rodentia; Sciuridae.